GGAGAGACAGCUCAGCAGUUAAGAGCACUGGCUACUCUUCCAGAGAACCUGGGUUCAAUUCCCAGCUUCUACA
Mus musculus (house mouse) is the source of this 73-nucleotide non-coding RNA. Lineage: Eukaryota; Metazoa; Chordata; Mammalia; Rodentia; Muridae. The record is from Rfam.